UAUGUCUCCGUGUGGGAAACUCAGAAGACCUAGGGGAAUAUAAACGCUUUCCCUGCCCGCCCCCCGCCCCCCGUGUAGAAUCCUGGUAAGUGAAACUUAAAAGAGAGCCCCCUCAGGAAAGUCAGACCCCAUCUCUGACCCCUUCGGCACUGGCUUCUCUUUCUUACUGCCUGUCUCUUGUUAGCAUCUUGACUCAGGAGCAUGAGAGGGGAGAAAAAUGAAAGGUCAACCUUGUUUCUUAUGCACAGUUUCAGCAUAAGUUUCACUGUCUUUAGUUGAACUCUUGAUCGUUGGUUUUUGGAGAUGUCUGGGGUUUCAUUUUUCCCCCAGUUCUCUUAGUUUUCACGUCUCAAUAUAAUCUAGAGUUCAUUGUUCAUCACGAGAGAACCUGCUUAAUCGUUUGCUUAGGUUAGAAAUCUGUUCAGAUUACCAGAAAGUUUUCUUCUAUUUGGGAUCAUCAGAGUUCGAUCAUAUUAACAUAGUCCAAAUACGUUUGCUAAGAUUUCGUCUUUCGUUAUUAAAGUUCCCAAAUAUAUUAUGGUGUUUUAUCAUUAUGAACAUCAACUCUCAUUGUUUAGAACUGUGCUUCCUUAACUGUUUUAUUUUUUUUAUUUCUUUGGGGUGAGGUUUCUGCUUUAUUUUAAGUGUGGUUGCCAUACAAUAUUAUAUGUUACAGGUAUGCAAUACAGUGAUUCACAAGUUUUAAAGGAUAUACUUCAUUUAUAGUUAUAAAACAUUGGCUGUAUUCCGUCUGUUGUAUAGUAUAUCCUUGUAGCCUUUUUUUUUUUUUUUGGCCACACCCACAACAUAUGAAAAUUCCUGGGUCAGGGAUCGAACCCACCCCACAGCAGCAACCUGAGCCACUGCAGUGAUAAGGCUGAAUCUUUAACCUGCUGAGCCACAUGGGAACUCCCCCUUGGAGCAUAUUUUAUUUUUUAAAUGAUUUUUUAUUUUUUUCCAUUAUAGCUAGUUUACAGUAUUCUGUCAAUUUUCUACUGUACACAAGGUGACCCAGUCACACAUACACAUAUACAUUCUUUUUUCUUACAUUAUCAUGCUCCAUCAUAAGUGACUAGAUAUAGUUCCCAGUGGCUUAAUUACAUCAAAACAAAAGCCUAAGAUUUUUAAAAAUGAUUACAUUAAACAAACAUACAAUUACUCUGACAAACUGCUCUAAAGUCUCUAAACACUACUCCCAAUUUCCCUUCUUUUCUAUUUUUAAGGGCCGCACCCAUGGCAUAUGGAAGUACCCAGGCUAGGAGUCAAAUUGGAGCUGUAGCCACCAGCUUACAUCACAGCCACAGCAAUACCAGAUCUGAGCCAUGUCUAUGACCUUCACCACAGCUCAUGGCAAUGCAGGAUCCUUGACCCACUGAGCAAGACAGGGAUUGAACCUGCAUCCUCAUGGAUACCAGUCAGAUUCGUUUCCACCGUGCCACAAUGAGAACUCCUACUCCCAGUUUCUGUACUGGGUCCAGGGCUGGUCUGCAGGUCUCACUUGGAGCCCCACUGUCUGAAUGGAAUAUAGACAGGUUAGGAGACCAUACCCUCAAAGCAGGUUUAGGAGGGCUGUCAUCUUCAUAUUUCUUCUAUCUCUAUUUAUCCCUCCCUCCAAAGGUCAAGUGCAGGGAAAAAAAAAUCCUGUUUACUUAACAUUUUUCUAUUUAAAAAAAAUUAUAGGACAAUACAUGAUUGUUAAAAUGUUUCAAACAAUAUAAAGGCAAAUAUAGAAAAGGCUGGUCAUUGGUAUUCCCUGGUGGCGAGUGGAUCUGGUGUUGUCACUCGUGACACAAGUUCAAUCCCUGGCCCAGGAAUUUCCGGGUGUCAUGGUCGUGGCCAAAAAAAAAAAAAAGAGAGAGGGAAGGUUAAGUUCAUUGCUUUCAUUGUCUCUCCCCAUUUCUUAGAUUGUUUAUUUUUCUUUCUCUGGAUGUAACAUAAACACAAAUAUAUACGUAUAUAUGCAUAUAUAAGGUAAUUUU
RNAcentral lists this long non-coding RNA (1979 nucleotides) under Sus scrofa (pig). RNAcentral's name for it is "lncRNA (ENSSSCG00050063021.1)". The record is from RNAcentral. Lineage: Eukaryota; Metazoa; Chordata; Mammalia; Artiodactyla; Suidae.